This 73-nucleotide transfer RNA is filed under the name Erysipelothrix sp. Its description in RNAcentral is "tRNA-Ala". It matches the Rfam family "tRNA". From Rfam's summary of the family: Transfer RNA (tRNA) molecules are approximately 80 nucleotides in length. Their secondary structure includes four short double-helical elements and three loops (D, anti-codon, and T loops). Lineage: Bacteria; Bacillati; Bacillota; Erysipelotrichia; Erysipelotrichales; Erysipelotrichaceae. RNAcentral also lists the same sequence under 3 other names. The record is from RNAcentral.
GGGGGCAUAGCUCAGCUGGGAGAGUGCUUGCAUGGCAUGCAAGAGGUCAGGGGUUCGAUCCCCCUUGUCUCCA